CCUGCCCAGUGACAAAUUUUUAACGGCCGCGGUAUUUUAACCGUGCAAAGGUAGCGCAAUCACUUGUCUUUUAAAUGAAGACCUGUAUGAAUGGUGAAACGAGGGCUUAACUGUCUCCCAUUUCAAGUCAAUGAAAUUGAUCUGCCCGUGCAGAAGCGGGCAUACUAAUACAAGACGAGAAGACCCUUUGGAGCUUUAGACAAAAGAUCACCUAUGUCAAGAACUGCAAACUAAGUCAAACUAAAUAGUCACUGAUCUCAGUCUUUUGUUGGGGCGACCACGGGAAAAAACAAAACUCCCAUGAGGACUGGGACAACAAACCCAAAACCAAGAAAGACAUUUCUAAGUCACAGAACAUCUGACCUAGACAGACCCGGCUAGCAUGCCGACUAACGAACCAAGUUACCCUAGGGAUAACAGCGCAAUCCCCUUCCAGAGCCCAUAUCGACAAGGGGGCUUACGACCUCGAUGUUGGAUCAGGACAUCCUAAUGGUGCAGCCGCUAUUAAGGGUUCGUUUGUUCAACGAUUAAAGUCCUACGUGA
This 543-nucleotide ribosomal RNA is filed under the name Aguarunichthys inpai. Its description in RNAcentral is "partial 16S ribosomal RNA". It matches the Rfam family "Bacterial large subunit ribosomal RNA", at positions 1858 to 2603 of the family's 2925-position model. Lineage: Eukaryota; Metazoa; Chordata; Actinopteri; Siluriformes; Pimelodidae. The record is from RNAcentral.